This 1059-nucleotide long non-coding RNA is filed under the name Volvox carteri. Its description in RNAcentral is "long non-coding RNA (VCAR_LNC002772)". Lineage: Eukaryota; Viridiplantae; Chlorophyta; Chlorophyceae; Chlamydomonadales; Volvocaceae. The record is from RNAcentral.
AAGUGGCGGCCAUUCAAAACACAGCGAAAAGGCUUCAUGCAGCAACAGCUUUUACAAUAUGGAAUCAAAAUUACCAUCGUGUCCAGCUGCCCAAACCAAAAAGCUCACGGAGGCGAUCGGGGUGAAUCUGCUCGUACACGAUUCCCGCAUUGUUGUGCACAUAAGGUUGGAUGCAUUCCUGGUCUACCAUUUCAAUACGCCUUGGGUUCGGGAUAUGCCCAAUCGCCUGAUCGCGGGUCGCUGUUCACGAUAGUUGUGGCCAAAUCUUAAUUGCCUCUUGAUGUCCUUGCCUUUUGCCUCUAGUGUCAAGGGGCACUUCAUGUAGAGUUGCAGCACACUCCAUGCCGCUUUUAAGAUGCUGCAGCAGCAGGCUACCAUAUCGCGGCAACCGGCCCUGUGCAGGCACCACAGCCGCAUGUACCAUUCACAAACGGCGCUGUCGUAGUUUUCGCCGGGAAGCUCUGACCGUCUUGAACGCUCGCCGUCCCAGUCCCGAUCCUGCAACCGUUUUCUCAGAUUUAUGAUGCGGCGAUAGAGCAGCGCAAUUACUUUUGCCCAAGACAACCUCAUAUACGAGGAACUCACGCCCACCAACUUUCAACGUUACAGGUUCCACGUAGAGUCUAAUGAACGUUUGAGCGUCGAAAGCAUGUGCGCCGUUCAGUUCUGGGCGUCUUUCGAGCUCUGGAAAAGGUUGCGAUUAGGGUUGGCGGCGAUGUAGUAGAAACCCGUGUCAUGAGUUUCCUGACGCUUGGCCUGAUGAUUACACUGGCCAGGUUAUUUCCCGAAACUGUUUUCAGCCGUCUUGCCGGGCUCCAAACCCUGGAGCCACCCUGAUGCCACCAAACUUGUUCCCCAUCCCCCCUUUUCGUUCUUCAUCCCCCAAGGGGGAACUUUCCCUCAGUUCAUCCCCUGAAGGGGAACUUAAGGGGACAACCCUUUAGGGAACGAUCCAUUACCCGGGUGUUAUAAUCCACCAUCAUCAUCAUUCCGUGUCUGCUAAUCGAAUGUACGUAUUUAUAUCUGCAUAAGCGAUGCCUGCUAGGUAAUGAAGCUAGU